This 463-nucleotide unclassified non-coding RNA is filed under the name uncultured fungus. RNAcentral describes it as "partial contains small subunit ribosomal RNA, internal transcribed spacer 1, and 5.8S ribosomal RNA". The stretch from base 1 to 73 matches the Rfam family "Eukaryotic small subunit ribosomal RNA", at positions 1759 to 1831 of the family's 1831-position model. Lineage: Eukaryota; Fungi. The record is from RNAcentral.
GCAAACUUGGUCAUUUAGAGGAAGUAAAAGUCGUAACAAGGUAACCGUAGGUGAACCUGCGGUUGGAUCAUUAGAGACUUCAUGUUGCCACAUGGCUGGGGCACACCAGCCAUGUGCAAGAUUCGCGAGCCGCAUCUCUUGUGACGGUGGCGCGGUUUUGCACACACCUGUGAACCACAGACCGUCUUUUGGCGGCGGCACAGAGGUUGGGAUUCCCGACUCAGAGGGGUCCCUCCCUCGGGGACGCGCGUGUUUUUGCCGGAUCUUGAUGGGUCCCGCCCGCGUUGUUGGUCGUCCUUCCCUUGUUGGGAGGACCCAACGGUCGCCGUCGCCAGCCAAAACCUUUACACCUUUCUGAUUUUCAUCAAUAUCGACUCAUGUCAUCAUUCUUGAUUGAAACCAAAUCGAAAGAACAACUUCAGACAACGGAUCUCUUGGCUCUCGCAUCGAUGAAGAACGCAGC